RNAcentral lists this ribosomal RNA (1011 nucleotides) under Burkholderia vietnamiensis. RNAcentral describes it as "bacterial SSU rRNA". It matches the Rfam family "Bacterial small subunit ribosomal RNA", at positions 24 to 1033 of the family's 1533-position model. The record is from RNAcentral. Lineage: Bacteria; Pseudomonadati; Pseudomonadota; Betaproteobacteria; Burkholderiales; Burkholderiaceae.
UCAGAUGACGCGGCGGCAUGCUUACACAUGCAAGUCGAACGGCAGCACGGGUGCUUGCACUGGUGGCGAGUGGCGAACGGGUGAGUAAUACAUCGGAACAUGUCCUGUAGUGGGGGAUAGCCCGGCGAAAGCCGGAUUAAUACCGCAUACGAUCUAUGGAUGAAAGCGGGGGACUUCCGGGCCUCGCGCUAUAGGGUUGGCCGAUGGCUGAUAGCUAGUUGGUGGGGUAAAGGCCUACCAAGGCGACGAUCAGUAGCUGGUCUGAGAGGACGACCAGCCACACUGGGACUGAGACACGGCCCAGACUCCUACGGGAGGCAGCAGUGGGGAAUUUUGGACAAUGGGCGAAAGCCUGAUCCAGCAAUGCCGCGUGUGUGAAGAAGGCCUUCGGGUUGUAAAGCACUUUUGUCCGGAAAGAAAUCCUUGGCUCUAAUACAGUCGGGGGAUGACGGUACCGGAAGAAUAAGCACCGGCUAACUACGUGCCAGCAGCCGCGGUAAUACGUAGGGUGCAAGCGUUAAUCGGAAUUACUGGGCGUAAAGCGUGCGCAGGCGGUUUGCUAAGACCGAUGUGAAAUCCCCGGGCUCAACCUGGGAACUGCAUUGGUGACUGGCAGGCUAGAGUAUGGCAGAGGGGGGUAGAAUUCCACGUGUAGCAGUGAAAUGCGUAGAGAUGUGGAGGAAUACCGAUGGCGAAGGCAGCCCCCUGGGCCAAUACUGACGCUCAUGCACGAAAGCGUGGGGAGCAAACAGGAUUAGAUACCCUGGUAGUCCACGCCCUAAACGAUGUCAACUAGUUGUUGGGGAUUCAUUUCCUUAGUAACGUAGCUAACGCGUGAAGUUGACCGCCUGGGGAGUACGGUCGCAAGAUUAAAACUCAAAGGAAUUGACGGGGACCCGCACAAGCGGUGGAUGAUGUGGAUUAAUUCGAUGCAACGCGAAAAACCUUACCUACCCUUGACAUGGUCGGAAUCCUGAAGAGAUUCGGGAGUGCUCGAAAGAGAACCGGCGC